ACGGGAGGCAGCAGUGGGGAAUUUUGCGCAAUGGGGGAAACCCUGACGCAGCAACGCCGCGUGCGGGAUGACGGCCUUCGGGUUGUAAACCGCUUUCAGUAGGGACGAUUAUGACGGUACCUACAGAAGAAGCUCCGGCUAACUACGUGCCAGCAGCCGCGGUAAUACGUAGGGAGCGAGCGUUAUCCGGAUUCAUUGGGCGUAAAGCGCGCGUAGGCGGUUAUGUAAGCGGAACCUCUAAUCUUAGGGCUCAACCUUAAGCCGGGUUCCGAACUGCAUGACUCGAGUAUGGUAGGGGUAAGUGGAAUUCCCGGUGUAGCGGUGAAAUGCGCAGAUAUCGGGAAGAACACCGAUGGCGAAGGCAGCUUACUGGGCCAUUACUGACGCUGAGGUGCGAAAGCGUGGGGAGCGAACAGGAUUAGAUACCCUGGUA
RNAcentral lists this ribosomal RNA (433 nucleotides) under uncultured Coriobacteriaceae bacterium. Its description in RNAcentral is "partial 16S ribosomal RNA". It matches the Rfam family "Bacterial small subunit ribosomal RNA", at positions 341 to 792 of the family's 1533-position model. Lineage: Bacteria; Bacillati; Actinomycetota; Coriobacteriia; Coriobacteriales; Coriobacteriaceae. The record is from RNAcentral. RNAcentral also lists the same sequence under 1 other name.